GACGAACGCUGGCGGCGUGCCUAAUACAUGCAAGUCGAACGCUUCUUUCCUCCCGAGUGCUUGCACUCAAUUGGAAAGAGGAGUGGCGGACGGGUGAGUAACACGUGGGUAACCUACCCAUCAGAGGGGGAUAACACUCGGAAACAGGUGCUAAUACCGCAUAACAGUUUAUGCCGCAUGGCAUAAGAGUGAAAGGCGCUUUCGGGUGUCGUUGAUGGAUGGACCCGCGGUGCAUUAGCUAGUUGGUGAGGUAACGGCUCACCAAGGCCACGAUGCAUAGCCGACCUGAGAGAGUGAUCGGCCACACUGGGACUGAGACACGGCCCAGACUCCUACGGGAGGCAGCAGUAGGGAAUCUUCGGCAAUGGACGAAAGUCUGACCGAGCAACGCCGCGUGAGUGAAGAAGGUUUUCGGAUCGUAAAACUCUGUUGUUAGAGAAGAACAAGGACGUUAGUAACUGAACGUCCCCUGACGGUAUCUAACCAGAAAGCCACGGCUAACUACGUG
Molecule: ribosomal RNA, 508 nt
Filed under: uncultured bacterium
Lineage: Bacteria
Description: partial 16S ribosomal RNA
Rfam family: Bacterial small subunit ribosomal RNA
Source: RNAcentral